Molecule: long non-coding RNA, 360 nt
Organism: Anneissia japonica
Lineage: Eukaryota; Metazoa; Echinodermata; Crinoidea; Comatulida; Comatulidae
Exons: 3
Source: RefSeq, a predicted model, not a curated record
AAUGUAAGCAACGUUUUACUUCAUACAGAUAUCAACGAAUGUGACGAAAAUCAACCAAGACAUAACUGCGGACGUCACACAAUCUGUGAAAACAGCCCUGGCUCAUUUGCUUGUUCUUGUGUUGAAGGGUAUGAAGGAGAACCAACUGCCAACUGCACAGAUAUCAACGAGUGUGCUGAUGAGCCUUGUGCGGCUACACAGACUUGCUUUAAUCAUCCUGGCAGCCAUAGUUGUGUGUGCAAGCCAGGAUAUUACACUAAUGCUGAUGGAUCAUGCUCUGAUAUUAAUGAGUGUGAAAGUGAAGAUUCAUGUGGUACCAACUCGGAGUGUGAAAACAGUGAACCAGGUUACCAGUGUGUA